Molecule: ribosomal RNA, 253 nt
Filed under: uncultured bacterium
Lineage: Bacteria
Description: partial 16S ribosomal RNA
Rfam family: Bacterial small subunit ribosomal RNA
Source: RNAcentral
UACGGAGGGGGCGAGCGUUAUCCGGAUUUACUGGGUUUAAAGGGUCCGUAGGCGGUCUAGUAAGUCAGUGGUGAAAGCCCAUCGCUCAACGGUGGAACGGCCAUUGAUACUGCUGGACUUGAAUUAUUGGGAAGCAACUAGAAUAUGUAGUGUAGCGGUGAAAUGCUUAGAGAUUACAUGGAAUACCAAUUGCGAAGGCAGGUUGCUACCAAUUGAUUGACGCUGAUGGACGAAAGCGUGGGUAGCGAACAGG